This is a long non-coding RNA of Bombus huntii, 813 nucleotides long. RefSeq lists it as uncharacterized. Lineage: Eukaryota; Metazoa; Arthropoda; Insecta; Hymenoptera; Apidae. The transcript is spliced from 2 exons. The record is from RefSeq and is a predicted model, not a curated record.
CAUAUGUCCAUUGCUAUUUAAGCACACGAAUUAGUACAAUGCCGUAUGACAAAAUUUGCGAAAUAAAUGCAGAGAAGCGGAUCGGAGUUGUCGUUGGCUUGGUAUCUAACAUGGCGACAGUAUAUACGCAUGGUGAAUCAAUACACGACCAAAUAGAUAAGUAGCAUGCCACGUGUCUACUACGACUUUCGUCACAAUGUUACCGUUCGCGCUAGUACACUAAUUUUCACUUACUAACUUCGAAAAAAAAAAUUAUCAAUGGGUGACAAAGCACUGAAUAUUUAUUAAAGAAAAUAUGUGAAUAUAUUCGACUUUUAGUAUGUAAUAUGCUUCAAGUUGAUUCAAAACAGAUUAAUCAGUAGAAUCAAAAUAAUUACGUAUAUUCUAAAAAUAACGAUGUGGCAGUCAUAAAUUCCAUUGACGCCAAAACAUUGAUGUUUACAUUUUUUCGCAUCCUGUAAUUUGUGGCUUACGUGAUAUAUUAUUUAUACCAAAAAUGUACCUUGUUUGUAAUUUAUUACGUCAUUAAAUACACUGACUUAGGUUACAACAUGUAAUGUUGGUAAGUGAAAGGCAUUUCCCUCCUGAACUAGGGCACACAAGAUGUUUCAAGUAUGCAUACAUGAAUUAUUUUCUACCAGUUAAUCGUUUUAUUUUAUAAAAUAUACAGUAAUUACAUCUUUCGAUUUAGUACCCUCAAUAAGCAAAAAGAAAAGAAAGGGAAGUCAAAAUAGACCACAAAACUUACCCAUACAAUGAGCGCACCAAACAAACAAAAACUUUCUCUCCUCGGAAGCUUGACACAAUUCACAC